This 568-nucleotide ribosomal RNA is filed under the name uncultured bacterium. RNAcentral's name for it is "partial 16S ribosomal RNA". It matches the Rfam family "Bacterial small subunit ribosomal RNA", at positions 355 to 937 of the family's 1533-position model. The record is from RNAcentral.
UGGGGAAUAUUGCACAAUGGGCGAAAGCCUGAUGCAGCGACGCCGCGUGAGGGAUGACGGCCUUCGGGUUGUAAACCUCUUUCAGCAGGGAAGAAGCGAAAGUGACGGUACCUGCAGAAGAAGCGCCGGCUAACUACGUGCCAGCAGCCGCGGUAAUACGUAGGGCGCAAGCGUUGUCCGGAAUUAUUGGGCGUAAAGAGCUCGUAGGCGGUUAGUCGCGUCUGCUGUGAAAACUCGAGGCUCAACCUCGGGCUUGCAGUGGGUACGGGCUGACUAGAGUGCGGUAGGGGUGACUGGAAUUCCUGGUGUAGCGGUGGAAUGCGCAGAUAUCAGGAGGAACACCGAUGGCGAAGGCAGGUCACUGGGCCGCAACUGACGCUGAGGAGCGAAAGCAUGGGGAGCGAACAGGAUUAGAUACCCUGGUAGUCCAUGCCGUAAAACGUUGGGCACUAGGUGUGGGGUCCAUUCCACGGAUUCCGUGCCGCAGCAAACGCAUUAAGUGCCCCGCCUGGGGAGUACGGCCGCAAGGCUAAAACUCAAAUGAAUUGACGGGGUCAUAGCUGUUUCC